RNAcentral lists this ribosomal RNA (229 nucleotides) under uncultured bacterium. RNAcentral's name for it is "partial 16S ribosomal RNA". It matches the Rfam family "Bacterial small subunit ribosomal RNA", at positions 568 to 796 of the family's 1533-position model. The record is from RNAcentral.
CGUGUAGGCGGACUCGCAAGUCGGUUGUGAAAUCCCUGGGCUCAACCUAGGAACUGCAUCCGAAACUGCUUGUCUUGAGUAAUGGAGAGGGUGGCGGAAUUCCCGGUGUAGAGGUGAAAUUCGUAGAUAUCGGGAGGAACAUCAGUGGCGAAGGCGGCCACCUGGACAUUUACUGACGCUGAGACGCGAAAGCGUGGGGAGCAAACCGGAUUAGAUACCCGAGUAGUCC